GAUGAACGCUGGCGGCGUGCCUAAUACAUGCAAGUCGAGCGAACAGACGAGGAGCUUGCUCCUCUGACGUUAGCGGCGGACGGGUGAGUAACACGUGGAUAACCUACCUAUAAGACUGGGAUAACUUCGGGAAACCGGAGCUAAUACCGGAUAAUAUAUUGAACCGCAUGGUUCAAUAGUGAAAGACGGUUUUGCUGUCACUUAUAGAUUGAUCCGCGCCGCAUUAGCUAGUUGGUAAGGUAACGGCUUACCAAGGCAACGAUGCGUAGCCGACCUGAGAGGGUGAUCGGCCACACUGGAACUGAGACACGGUCCAGACUCCUACGGGAGGCAGCAGUAGGGAAUCUUCCGCAAUGGGCGAAAGCUUGACGGAGCAACGCCGCGUGAGUGAUGAAGGUCUUCGGAUCGUAAAACUCUGUUAUUAGGGAAGAACAAAUGUGUAAGUAACUAUGCACGUCUUGACGGUACCUAAGCAGAAAGCCACGGCUAACUACGU
This 496-nucleotide ribosomal RNA is filed under the name uncultured bacterium. RNAcentral's name for it is "partial 16S ribosomal RNA". It matches the Rfam family "Bacterial small subunit ribosomal RNA", at positions 28 to 506 of the family's 1533-position model. The record is from RNAcentral.